This 72-nucleotide transfer RNA is filed under the name Euryarchaeota archaeon RBG_16_68_12. RNAcentral's name for it is "tRNA-Met". It matches the Rfam family "tRNA". Rfam says of the family: Transfer RNA (tRNA) molecules are approximately 80 nucleotides in length. Lineage: Archaea; Methanobacteriati; Methanobacteriota. The record is from RNAcentral.
UGCGGCGUGGUGUACCGGAGAACAUCCCGCGCUCAUGACGCGGAGAACGGGGUUCAACUCCCCGCGCCGCAA